This 395-nucleotide ribosomal RNA is filed under the name uncultured archaeon. Its description in RNAcentral is "bacterial SSU rRNA". It matches the Rfam family "Archaeal small subunit ribosomal RNA", at positions 347 to 741 of the family's 1478-position model. The record is from RNAcentral.
CCUUUACACUGCACGACAGUGCGAUAAGGGGACUCCGAGUGCGAGGGCAUAUAGCCCUCGCUUUUCUGUACCGUAAGGUGGUACAGGAACAAGGGCUGGGCAAGACCGGUGCCAGCCGCCGCGGUAAUACCGGCAGCACGAGUGAUGGCCGAUCUUAUUGGGCCUAAAGCGUCCGUAGCUGGCCAGACAAGUCCGUUGGGAAAUCCACGUGCUCAACGCGUGGGCGUCCGGCGGAAACUGUUUGGCUUGGGACCGGAAGACCCGAGGGGUACGUCCGGGGUAGGAGUGAAAUCCCGUAAUCCUGGACGGACCGCCGGUGGCGAAAGCGCCUCGGGAAGACGGAUCCGACAGUGAGGGACGAAAGCUAGGGUCUCGAACCGGAUUAGAUACCCGGG